Molecule: long non-coding RNA, 284 nt
Filed under: Hordeum vulgare
Lineage: Eukaryota; Viridiplantae; Streptophyta; Magnoliopsida; Poales; Poaceae
Description: long non-coding RNA (HVUL_LNC015874)
Source: RNAcentral
AACUAACUCCAUUGGGCCAACCUCAAAAGAGCUACAGAUCACAAGAUACAAGCAAGACAAGACAGCAACAAAAUAAUAACAGAUUCCAGACUUAGAAAUAUUUCAGCUCCUCUGAAACAGCACUAUUCAAGCAACUUGAGGGCAGUCAAACAACACCUAAACAUGCAUUUAUAUUGCAACUAAAAAUGCCAGGGACUAAACAAAACAUCUAAGAUCAACUCUCUAGUUGACAACUCCGUCAAACGACGCACGGAUUAAAUCCUACGAAUUAAUCAAAAGGGCAA